AGAUUAAACUGAAGAGUUUGAUCAUGGCUCAGAUUGAACGCUGGCGGCAGGCUUAACACAUGCAAGUCGAGCGGUAACAGAUCUAGCUUGCUAGAUGCUGACGAGCGGCGGACGGGUGAGUAACGCGUAGGAACCUGCCCAGUAGUGGGGGAUAGCCCGGUGA
RNAcentral lists this ribosomal RNA (163 nucleotides) under Oleiphilus sp. HI0073. RNAcentral's name for it is "partial 16S ribosomal RNA". It matches the Rfam family "Bacterial small subunit ribosomal RNA", at positions 1 to 154 of the family's 1533-position model. Lineage: Bacteria; Pseudomonadati; Pseudomonadota; Gammaproteobacteria; Oceanospirillales; Oleiphilaceae. The record is from RNAcentral.